UACAGUGAAAGCUCGCUAAUCCGAACGGUGUGUAAUCCGAAUUAUCCAGUAAUCCGAAUUGAAUAAAGUGCACAUAUUUGUUUUGACAUACAUAAGUGCAAACAA
Molecule: long non-coding RNA, 105 nt
Organism: Bactrocera neohumeralis
Lineage: Eukaryota; Metazoa; Arthropoda; Insecta; Diptera; Tephritidae
Exons: 2
Source: RefSeq, a predicted model, not a curated record